UUGUGGUCGUGGGUUCGAGCC
Molecule: unclassified non-coding RNA, 21 nt
Filed under: Chlamydomonas reinhardtii
Lineage: Eukaryota; Viridiplantae; Chlorophyta; Chlorophyceae; Chlamydomonadales; Chlamydomonadaceae
Description: small RNA Cre_4069
Source: RNAcentral